GACAGAGGUCCCGAGCGUUAGGCGGAAUCACUGGGCUUAAAGCGUGUGUAGGCGGCGGCCUAAGUACCUUGUGAAAUCCCACGGCUCACCCGUGGAACUGCUCGGUAUACUGGGUCGCUUGAGCCACUUAGGGGCUACCGGAACAAAUGGUGGAGCGGUGAAAUGCGUAGAUAUCAGUUGGAACGCCAAUGGUGAAAACAGGUAGCUGGGAGUGUGCUGACGCUGAGACACGAAAGCCAGGGGAGCAAACGGG
RNAcentral lists this ribosomal RNA (253 nucleotides) under uncultured bacterium. Its description in RNAcentral is "partial 16S ribosomal RNA". It matches the Rfam family "Bacterial small subunit ribosomal RNA", at positions 524 to 776 of the family's 1533-position model. The record is from RNAcentral.